GGACCUCUAUGCCUUAUAUGAAAUAAUAAUAAAUUAUGUAAGAUAUCAAAAAAUUAUAUAUAUUAUUUAGGAUAUCAUAUAAAAAUAUAAAAAAUUAUAUAUAUUAUUUAAAAUAUCAUAUAUAUUCACAAAAGAUCAUAUAUGUUGUUUAGGAUGUCAUAUAUAUAUAUUCACAUAAAGUUAUAUAAGGCAUCAAAAAAUUAUAUAUAUUAUUCAGGAUGUCAUAUAAAGACAUAGAAAGUUAUAUAAGGUAUGAAAAAAUCAUAAUAACCAAC
This 275-nucleotide long non-coding RNA is filed under the name Elaeis guineensis (African oil palm). Its description in RNAcentral is "long non-coding RNA (EGUI_LNC079872)". Lineage: Eukaryota; Viridiplantae; Streptophyta; Magnoliopsida; Arecales; Arecaceae. The record is from RNAcentral.